Molecule: long non-coding RNA, 1999 nt
Organism: Engraulis encrasicolus (European anchovy)
Lineage: Eukaryota; Metazoa; Chordata; Actinopteri; Clupeiformes; Engraulidae
Exons: 6
Source: RefSeq, a predicted model, not a curated record
CAGAGUUAAAGAGAGUUAAUUUUUCAGUGAUAAAAAUGUCAGUGUUGAUUAGAGUUGAUUCUGGAGUUGAUUUGCCAAACAUGUACACUUGGAGUGUAAAAGUAACUCUGGUACGAGUGUUACAAUCGCGUGUUAAUAAAAUAUACUCUGGUGUAGAGUUGUUUACUUCAUCCGGGGUAUUGAUGAAGCUUGCGAGGAGAAAGACAGAUGGACGCCAUUACAUUUUCCAAUAUCGCGGGGAAAGAACACACAAUGUUCCUAAAAGAAGAGCAUUGAACUGCAGCCUCCUCCAUGCACUUUUGAGUUUGUCAUGGAAGAAGGUCAGAUUUCUUUUUUUCAAAGGAUCAACGGAUUUGAAGUUAUUUGAGGAAUCUGACACAGCUAUUGGUGAGGACGUUUUCCAAUACCUCAUCACAGAUAACCUACACAUCUGCCUGGUGGCAAAACCUUUUGAUGACAACGUGUUUCCCUGGAGUCCCACCCAGCCCGCUGAAGCAGCCUUCCCAGCCCAGCCUUCCCAGCCCAGGCUUCCCUUCCCAGGCUCAUCAGUCCGAUGGUGCAGAGAUGGCUAAAAGGCCAAAGGAGGAUUCCGGUUGUUCUGGAGAACAGUGCAGGAGGACAGGAAAUAAUGGAGGAGUAUAGGAGAUCCAGCACCUGCACUCAUGGCACGGUACGUUGUAAGAGAAGAGUAAUAGUCUUUGGCAGUUAUAGGACUGAUAUUUAGACACGGACUUACUAGUUCAGCACUAAUUUUGUCAAUCUCCAACAUGCACACCAACAUUAAAACCUUUUAAUUGCAGUUAUUACCUUAGCUACUCCAGUUCAUAGCACUUUUUAAAAUAUAUAUAUUUUUAGGGGCUUUUAUGCCUUUACUUGAUAGGACAGUCUGAGAUGGUGACAGGAAGCGAGUGGGACAGAGAGACGGGGUGCGAACAGGAAAUUAUCCCGGGCGGUCUCGAACUGGGGUCCCCGUCGGCUUGCAAGCCCAAAAGUGGGGGGCUUAGCGCGCUGCACCGCAGCGCCCCCUCACAGUACUUUUUCAGUACCCUCACUCUUCUGUGCGAUUGCAUUGCAUUACAUUUAGGUGACUCUUUUAUCCAAAGCGACUUAGUUAUUUAUAGGGUAUUGGCUACAGUCCCUGGAGCAAAGUGGGGUAAGUUGUCUUACUCGAGGGCUUUAUGGAAUGGGAAGACUAGGAUAAGAACCUGCAACCAUCUGUUCUUGAGAUCACCCUAAUCAUUAAGCCAUUAUAGAUGACUUUUCCCACUGCACAGUUAAACUGCACAUUGGAAUAUUUGCUUUCAAAACUAAGUAAAGAGAACUUUUGCAGAGAUUAUGAGAAUCUUAACACUUGUAAGGUGUUCGUGUUUUUGUUACAUAGAAGAUGCCCGGGUCAUUUUGACCCGGGCAUAUAGAAAAAUAAUUUUAAAAGGAAAAUAAUCAUAGCUCAUGUUCCGUUCCGAAUUUCUGUGUAUAUACACUAUGUUUUUGAGUGAGAGAGCUACAGAGAGAGAAAGAUAAGGUAAGAAAGUUAGUAAACUCAAUCCAAGCUCUCCCAUUGAACCACCAGUGCUCUUAUUGCAACUGAAGGACCAGAAAAUAUCUGCACUCCUUUUCCCCCAUAAUUCACCCUUUGCCAUUUUAGAAAAUGUGUAAACCUCCCAAAGUGAUACGGGUGAAAAUGAUCCGGGGACACCUCCUGUGUAAUAGAAAUGUGCAGGGGGGUGGUUAAGCAAGAGGGGCUCACAAAUGUUUUUCAGAUUCAUGUUCCUCACUGAAAAUGAGCUAAAGACAGUGAAUCUCAAUGUGAAAGAAUAAUAACUGAUACUAUUUUUCUUUUUUUCAAGCUAAACACUGAAAACGGGUCAAAAUGGGGUCAAAAACCUUACAAGGGUUAAGUCAAGGGUCUCUUCACAGCUGUGCUUGAACGUUGUCUGUUGUGACAUAUUGCAUGACAUUUUUUCUUUCUUUUUUCUUAUGUCUUGUUGCAGUUUUGAAG